Non-coding RNA from Chlorocebus sabaeus (green monkey), 2265 nucleotides. NCBI's taxonomy places the organism in Eukaryota, Metazoa, Chordata, Mammalia, Primates, Cercopithecidae. The record is from RefSeq and is a predicted model, not a curated record.
UCGCACCACUGCACUGCAGCCUAGGCCAGAAGAGUGAAGCUCCAUCUCAAAAAAAAUUAAAAUUAAAAAUCAGUAAAAAACAUUUAAUACAAGAUGAAUAUACAAAAAUUAGUAACUUCUCACUCCUCUAGCAAUAAUCACUUGGGAAUUAAAGAAAAAAAAAGAGCCAAAAUAUUCCAUUUGCCAUGGCAACUGAGUAGUUGGGGUGAAGGUUAGGAUGCUGUAAGGAGCAGCUCCGGGCAUGGGGAACUCGAUGGAGGCAUCAUUUCUCUCUCACAUGGUGGCUGAGAACGGCUGGGUGGGCUGCUCUGUCACCACACAUGGGGUCCCCCAAUCAUGCCUCUCCUCUAGCCUUCUAGGCAUCUUUCCUGGCUGCGAGGUUCCAAUGGGUGCAGAAGUGCCCACGUCCAGCUGGCAGGAGGGGCCUGGGCAGGGAAAGGAGGGUAGAGGCCAUGUUUUCCAAGACCACAUGUGAGACAUGGCCCAUGUUGCCACAUGCGUUCCGUGGUUAGCCCUUGGUGAGGGCCUGGCCUGGCUGGAAGAUGGGCUUGCUGCGCAGGGACAGGCAACGCCAUCGCAGGAGAAGGGGCCGGAGCUGGCAGGAACAGUGUCUCCAGGUGACAAAAGCCUCCGACAAUUUUGCAAGAAAGGUGGGGGUGGGCGUGAGAGGACGCAGGGCCCCCACCGCUCAAGCAAGGAGAGCAGGGAGCAGAGCCACGGAGAAGGCCCAGCCGGGAGCCUCUCCUGCCAACCUGAAGCCCAGCCUCCAGGUUCCAUGAAAUCACCUCCAGUUAUCCCAGGAGAAAGGUGCAUGGCCUAGGAAAGAAAAAACAGGCAGCUUGGACCCAGGCUCCAAUCCCGGCCACCAGUUACCAGACAGGGGCAGCCACAUCGCGUCUGUGUGCCUCAGUUUCUACAUCUGCGGCUGCAGUGAUGGUUGUGCCCGCCCAGUGGGGCUGCUGUGAGUUAAGGGGUGAGAGACAGAGACGCUUCCCUGUCCACUGUCUCCAACACGUUCUUCCUGGUCACCCCUCACUGAACACCCCAGAGACCAGGCAGGCGCCAUGGACAGUUGAGAAGGCAUCCAGCCUGCAGAACGGAGUCCAGGACCCAGAGAAGCUUCAGGGAAGACGUCCUGUGCCUGUUAGCAGCCACUCCCCGCCACGGUUUGAGUGCGGCCACAACAGAACGCCAGACAGCAGUUUAUCAACAGAGACUUCCUGCCUCCCAGUCUGGAGGCCAAGGUCCCAGCAGGGCCAUGUCGGGUUCUCCUCUUUCACGACCGUCCCUCGCACACGGCAUCCUCACCGGCUGGAGGGUGGGCCUGCCCCACAAGCCCUUUUCAUAGUGGCUUUAGUCACAAGGGCUCUGCCUCGUGAGUGGAUCAGACACCUCCCAUCAGGCGCCACCUCCUGGCACUGCCCGGGGUCUAAGUUUCCGCCUGAGCUUUAGAGGAUGCAAGCAUUCCAACCACAGCACUGCAUGCGGGGCCCAGUACUCCCCCCGUCACAUACAAAAUCGUAUGAGUCAGCGUUCUCUAGAGGGACAGGACUCAUAGGAGACAUGAACAGGGGAUGAUCUUGGACUCCCUGCCCACCUUCCAGACACACGGGGACAGGGCUGGGCCCCCACGGCUUUGCUGGGCUCAGCCCACUCAGGGUGCGGGGGUUGGAGUCUCCUGCCUGCCGCUCUCCCAGGCUGCGCUUGGUCAUUGGUGGCCCUGCGGUCCUGGGGUCUUGGAGGCAGUCCCCGCCCCCUUGCCUCGGCUCCACUGGGCAUUGCCCCGCUGGGGAUUCCGAGGUAGCUCCACCCCAAUGAUGAGCCUCUGCCUGGGCCUCAAGACUGUCAGCAACAUCCUUUGAAAUCUGGGUGGAGGCCACCGUCGCCUGCAGGGUCAGUACCGUGUGCAUGCCACCAAGCCCACCGCAUACGCCUUCAGGAGCAACAGGUGGAGCUGCGCCUGCGCCUGCCUGAGCCAUGGUGGGGGCAGCCAAGGAGGGCUGGGCCAGGAUCUGGGGAGACCCAGGCAGGCAGUGAGCUCUGUGGUCCCAAAGGUGCCCCAGAGGCCCAUCCCUUGCCAUGAUUCUGCCCUCAGGGCCCUUAUAAAAGGGCUGGAAGGAACUAGCUUGGCUGUUUUUCCUCCGAGUUCUGCCAUGUGAGGCUGGAUAUGCCAUCGGAGCUGCCCUCAGUAGACCCCAGCCUGCCAGUGCCUGGAUUCUUGGACUCCGCAGCUUGAGAACUACAGGAAAUAAAUUUCUGUUGCUU